GAUGAACGCUGGCGGCGUGCCUAAUACAUGCAAGUCGAGCGAACAGACGAGGAGCUUGCUCCUCUGACGUUAGCGGCGGACGGGUGAGUAACACGUGGAUCACCUACCUAUAAGACUGGGAUCACUUCGGGAAACCGGAGCUAAUACCGGAUAAUAUAUUGAACCGCAUGGUUCAAUAGUGAAAGACGGUUUUGCUGUCACUUAUAGAUGGAUCCGCGCCGCAUUAGCUAGUUGGUAAGGUAACGGCUUACCAAGGCGACGAUGCGUAGCCGACCGGAGAGGGGGAUCGCCCGCAUGGGAACGGAGACGCGGUCCAGAGGACUAAGGGAGGGAGCAGUAGGGAACGUGCGGCAAUGGGCGAAAGCCUUACGGAGUAAGGCCGCGUGAGUGAUGAAGGUGUUCGGAUCGUAAAACUCUGUUAUUAGUGAAGAACAAAUUUGUAAUUAACUAUGCACGUAUUGACGGUACCUAGUCAGAAAGCCACGGCUAACUACGUG
Molecule: ribosomal RNA, 497 nt
Filed under: uncultured bacterium
Lineage: Bacteria
Description: partial 16S ribosomal RNA
Rfam family: Bacterial small subunit ribosomal RNA
Source: RNAcentral